This is a long non-coding RNA of Mauremys reevesii (Reeves's turtle), 1140 nucleotides long. RefSeq lists it as uncharacterized. NCBI's taxonomy places the organism in Eukaryota, Metazoa, Chordata, Testudines, Geoemydidae. The transcript is spliced from 6 exons. The record is from RefSeq and is a predicted model, not a curated record.
ACAAGCACAAGAGGUGCGGGCUGCCUGGGGCUGGGUCGCUACUCCCCAUCUCACGCCGAGGAGUAGCUGCAGCCUUGGCUCUGCUCCUUCCCCCCCAUGUGCCAGCCAGUGUAGCUGAGCCAGUACAUUUGGGGAUGUACUCUUCUGUGCCAGGAAAAGAGUUGGUACAACUUAUUCUCCACCCUGGAGCUUUUAACAGUGUUGCAAUAGAUACAGUCUUGGCUGACUGAGUCAGACUCUUACUAGAUAGAAGACAAACAGAGAAGGAAAGAAAAAGGAAGAAAUAAGGUGUCAGAUAAAGAUGGAGUCUCUCUUUGACCCUUAUGUUCCAAAGGAAUUGUCUUUGUCCUAAAAGUCAGGAAUGCCUUCUGAUUUCAAUUUAUUGGAUGAAAAGGCUAUUUUUAUACUGGAACCAUUAAAAUAGCAAUUUCUCAAUAGUUUAAACAAAGAAUAUACAACAAGCUAUGAAAUUCCAUUCGUAAAACGUAUCCCCAGGUGAACACAACUAAAGUCUGGAUUUCACGUUAUAUUACAUGUAGAAGAAAUUUACACAACUACAGGUGGAUAAAUUAAUGUCAGUGUGCAGAUCCCAUUUUAGGAGAGGAAAGCAGGCAUCAGAAUGUGCAAAAUUUAAGUAGUCAACCAAUCAUUAUAGAGACAAUGUAUUCUAUUAUUACGGAAGUGACACAGACUUAGGAUUUAUUAAUUUGCCAUAUGAAGCUAUCUGGUCUUUAUUACCUCGCACUUGUUUAGCAACCCAGUUUCUUGCAGCCUUGACCAGAUGCUUUGUAUUCUUCCAGCAUGCUCAGGAUGGUUGUUGUUGUUGCCACACAUGCAUUGGUGCUUCAGCAUUAGACUGUCAUAGACAACACCUUCAGCACAAAGACAAUACAACAAGAAAAUAGAAGUAAAACUGAAAUACAAGCCAUCGCUGUGUGAAGUGCUCAUCGAAUGGACGGAAUAGUUGUGCAUUGGCAGGAUAAAGAGGAAACAUUCUAUCUGUGGAGGACAGAGGCAGACAGAACAGAGGACAAAGGCAGAGUCGAUCUAAGUGAGUUUAUUCUGUUCACAUCUAGCUAUGGUUUCCUGGGAGAAAGCACGAGCAAAGUCUGAGAACUUGGAUAUGUGAAUUCAAGAGGA